Molecule: ribosomal RNA, 301 nt
Filed under: uncultured bacterium
Lineage: Bacteria
Description: partial 16S ribosomal RNA
Rfam family: Bacterial small subunit ribosomal RNA
Source: RNAcentral
CAGUAGCCGCGGUAAUACGAAGGGGGCUAGCGUUGUUCGGAAUUACUGGGCGUAAAGGGCGCGUAGGCGGCCAUUCAAGUUAGAUGUGAAAGCCCUGGGCUCAACCUAGGAAUUGCAUUUGAUACUGUUUGGCUUGAGUUCGGGAGAGGUGAGUGGAAUUCCCAGUGUAGAGGUGAAAUUCGUAGAUAUUCGCAGGAACACCAGUGGCGAAGGCGGCUCACUGGCUCGAUACUGACGCUGAGGUGCGAAAGCGUGGGGAACAAACAGGAUUAGAUACCCCCGUAGUCCCUGUCUCUUAUAU